UACGUAGGGUGCGAGCGUUAAUCGGAAUUACUGGGCGUAAAGCGUGCGCAGGCGGCGCGUUAAGACAGGUGUGAAAGCCCCGAGCUUAACUUGGGAAUUGCGCUUGUGACUGGCGUGCUGGAGUGUGGCAGAGGGAGGUGGAAUUCCACGUGUAGCGGUGAAAUGCGUAGAUAUGUGGAGGAAUACCGAUGGCGAAGGCAGCCUUCUGGGCCAACACUGACGCUCAUGCACGAAAGCGUGGGGAGCAAACAGG
RNAcentral lists this ribosomal RNA (253 nucleotides) under uncultured bacterium. RNAcentral describes it as "partial 16S ribosomal RNA". It matches the Rfam family "Bacterial small subunit ribosomal RNA", at positions 524 to 776 of the family's 1533-position model. The record is from RNAcentral.